AUUGAACGCUGGCGGCAGGCCUAACACAUGCAAGUCGAGCAGUAGUGAGAAGCUUGCUUCUCUUGAGAGUGGCGGACGGGUGUGUAAUGCCUAGGAAUCUGCCUGGUAGCUGGGGAUAACGAUCGGAAACGGACGCUAAUACCGCAUACGUCCUACGGGAGAAAGCAUGUGACCCUCGGGCCAUGAGCUAUCAUAUGAGCCUAGGUCGGAUUAGCUAGUUGGUGGGGUAAUGGCUCACCAAGGGGACGAUCCGUAACUGGUCUGAGAGGAUGAUGAGUCACACUGGAACUGAGACACGGUCCAGACUCCUACGGGAGGCAGCAGUGGGGAAUAUUGGACAAUGGGCGAAAGCCUGAUCCAGCCAUGCCGCGUGUGUGAAGAAGGUCUUCGGAUUGUAAAGCACUUUAAGUUGGGAGGAAGGGCAGUAAAUUAAUACUUUGCUGUUUUGACGUUACCGACAGAAUAAGCACCGGCUAACUCUGUGCCAGCCGCCGCCGUAA
RNAcentral lists this ribosomal RNA (500 nucleotides) under uncultured bacterium. RNAcentral's name for it is "partial 16S ribosomal RNA". It matches the Rfam family "Bacterial small subunit ribosomal RNA", at positions 30 to 523 of the family's 1533-position model. The record is from RNAcentral.